This is a long non-coding RNA of Mauremys reevesii (Reeves's turtle), 1008 nucleotides long. RefSeq lists it as uncharacterized. NCBI's taxonomy places the organism in Eukaryota, Metazoa, Chordata, Testudines, Geoemydidae. The transcript is spliced from 3 exons. The record is from RefSeq and is a predicted model, not a curated record.
CAAACCUGAGUGACGCUGAAAUCCCAGGCACCAGGUCGCAACACCCAGAGCAGGGAGCUAGGCCAAGCCCUGUGGGACAGAAACUGCUGCUGCAGGCUGAGCACAGGGUGGGCUUGCUCUCCAACCCCCUCGUCUAGGCCUCCCAUCCAUACUGUGCCAAGAGAAAUAUAUGUUUGACUAGGCUGGGGCCCGGUGUUGGGUUAAUCCAGCCUUGGAUGUGGUGACCCAUCUGGAGCCUUCCCACAACCCACUGGUGGGUUGGGACCCACUGUUAGGGAAACACUGCAUACGGGGUAAACUGAGAGAGGCUUUGUCUAGAACCUCAGUGAUUAUCUGCAGUCUCAGAAAUAGUGGUCUUAUCUUCGCAAUCAACUUGAUCCUCCAUCAAACACCUUCAGACAGGACUUGAUCUCCAGUGGGAAUAUUAGAACAUUGCUAAAUAUUAAUGGCGACAUCAUCCAACAUUGCUCCAUCACUGGAUGAGAACCCAGGCAGAAAGACAGAUGAGACUUUCCUUUGUGACAUUCCCAUCUACAGAUAGUGGGUCACCUAUCACCAAUCUGAAGUGAAUGAAAAUGAAGGAUUGUGAGAACUUCAAGAAAAAAAAUAACAGGAAGAGAAAAGCUGGGGGAAUCCUAUCUGGCUGUACACAUCAAAGGUUUCAAUUAUCUAAUUUGUACAUCCCCAUCUGAGAUCCUAGAUAAGUACUCAGGUAGCUAACCUGAGUCAGCGCCCAUACCUCCAUGGCCACACUAGUUUUAGUGGGCUAGUUCAUACACAGUUAGCCUAUGUACAUUUACCAGAGCUGAGAAUUUCAACUCCCAGCUGCAGUGUAGUUGUACCUGGAGUGGAGCAGAAGGGCCUUUUGGAAGAAGCAUAUUUUAAGGAGGAACUUGAAAGGCGGUGGAUGCAUGGCUCCGGGGAGGCCUGAUCCCUUUGAGGUCAAUGGAAAGACACCUAUUGACUUUAAUGGGCUUUUGAUCAAGCUCUGGAGGACUGAACAUGUCC